UAUUGGGCGUAAGCGCGCGCAGGUGGUUCCUUAAGUCUGAUGUGAAAGCCCACGGCUCAACCGUGGAGGGUCAUUGGAAACUGGGGAACUUGAGUGCAGAAGAGGAAAGUGGAAUUUCACGUGUAGCGGUGAAAUGCGUAGAGAUGUGGAGGAACACCAGUGGCGAAGGCGACUUUCUGGUCUGUAACUGACACUGAGGCGCGAAAGCGUGGGGAGCGAACAGGAUUAGAUACCCUGGUAGUCCACGCCGUAAACGAUGAGUGCUAAGUGUUAGAGGGUUUCCGCCCUUUAGUGCUGCAGCUAACGCAUUAAGCACUCCGCCUGGGGAGUACGGCCGCAAGGCUGAAACUCAAAGGAAUUGACGGGGGCCCGCACAAGCUGUGGAGCAUGUGGUUUAAUUCGAAGCAACGCGAAGAACCUUACCAGGUCUUGACAUCCUCUGACAACCCUAGAGAUAGGGCCUUCCCUUUCGGGGGACAGAGUGACAGGUGGUGCAUGGUUGUCGUCAGCUCGUGUCGUGAGAUGUUGGGUUAAGUCCCGCAACGAGCGCAACCCUUGAUCUUAGUUGCCAGCAUUCAGUUGGGCACUCUAAGGUGACUGCCGGUGACAAACCGGAGGAAGGUGGGGAUGACGUCAAAUCAUCAUGCCCCUUAUGACCUGGGCUACACACGUGCUACAAUGGAUGGUACAAAGAGCCCGCAAACCCGCGAGGGCAAGCUAAUCUCAUAAAGCCAUUCUCAGUUCGGAUUGCAGGCUGCAACUCGCCUGCAUGAAGCCGGAAUCGCUAGUAAUCGCGGAUCAGCAUGCCGCGGUGAAUACGUUCCCGGGCCUUGUACACACCGCCCGUCACACCACGAGAGUUUGUAACACCCGAAGUCGGUGAGGUAACCUUUCGGAGCCAGCCGCCUAA
Molecule: ribosomal RNA, 910 nt
Filed under: uncultured Bacillus sp.
Lineage: Bacteria; Bacillati; Bacillota; Bacilli; Caryophanales; Bacillaceae
Description: SSU rRNA
Rfam family: Bacterial small subunit ribosomal RNA
Source: RNAcentral